RNAcentral lists this ribosomal RNA (543 nucleotides) under uncultured Chloroflexota bacterium. RNAcentral's name for it is "SSU rRNA". It matches the Rfam family "Bacterial small subunit ribosomal RNA", at positions 8 to 581 of the family's 1533-position model. The record is from RNAcentral. Lineage: Bacteria; Bacillati; Chloroflexota.
AGAGUUAGAUCCUGGCUCAGGGUGAACGCUGGCGGCGCGCUAAAUGCAUGCAAGUCGAACGUGCUUUACGGGCAAGUGGCAGACAGCUGAGUAACGCGUGAGUAACGUGCCCUACGGUGGGGUAUAGCCUCGGGAAACUGAGAGUAAUCCCGCAUACGAUCUGUAGACUACAGUUGGCGGAUGAAAGCCCCCGGGCGCCGAAGGAGCGGCUCGCGUCNCUAUCAGGUAGUUGGUGGGGUAAAAGCCUACCAAGCCUAUGACGGGUAGCUGGUCUAAGAGGACGAUCAGCCAGAGGGGGACUGAGACACGGCCCCCACUCCUACGGGAGGCAGCAGCAGGGAAUUUAGGGCAAUGGGCGAAAGCCUGACCCGGCGACGUCGCGUGGGGGAUGAAGGCCUAAGGGCUGUAAACCCCUUAUCCCGGGGAAAAGAAAGGACGGUACCCGGGGAAUAAGCUCCGGCUAACUACUUGCCAGCAGCCGCGGUAAUACGUAGGGAACAAGCGUACCCGGAAUACUGGGCUAAAAGCGCGUAGCGGCUGGUA